Molecule: long non-coding RNA, 706 nt
Organism: Lates calcarifer (barramundi perch)
Lineage: Eukaryota; Metazoa; Chordata; Actinopteri; Centropomidae
Exons: 4
Source: RefSeq, a predicted model, not a curated record
CAGAGAGGCGGAGAAACGAGGUCGGAAAACAGAUUUAAGCCAAGUUUGACGAAUUGCCUCUGUUUGCUGGUACUGUUAGAAAACGUGUUUGUUACGGAGGCCUGGAUGCUAAAACAAACUCUGGAGUUGCUUUUUGUCGAACACGAUUGAGAGUGGACAACACACUUCCGGCGCAAAGGUGUCACCACCUCACCACAUCAUCAUCCAUGCUUCGUAGAGACCUGCACAAGAAUCGGCAGAGAGAGGGGUCACUGAUUCGACAGCAUUGCAUGCGAUCAGGGACAUUGUCGAUGAUCAUAGAGACACCGUCCACGAUCUUCGUAAAAUGAAAAAGUUCUUUGAGACCAGGACAGAGGCUUCCAGCUGAAUUCACAAAAACAACAGGAGCCACCAAUGGUGAAGGAGGAUGAGGAGAAAACCACAUCACCUGAAGAGGACAACAAAAGUAGUUAAAUGUUUUUAGAGAUUAAUACGUUUUUCAUAAGCAUAACCAUGUGUGCUCAGCAUUGCAUUAAAUGUGAGGUGAGGGAAUAAAACAAAAGUGUCUCCAAAUGGUCAAACAUCUAUCAUUGUCUUUGUUGUACGUUGUCGAGAACAGAAUCAAUAAAGUUUUGUAACUUAAGUUUUGUACCUCUAUUUUUGUAUUAAUAUCAUAAAACUGAUAUGUUAGGGUUAGGGUUGGGGUUACGGUUAUUGUUACUGUAAC